RNAcentral lists this long non-coding RNA (1008 nucleotides) under Homo sapiens (human). RNAcentral describes it as "HSALNT0345543". Lineage: Eukaryota; Metazoa; Chordata; Mammalia; Primates; Hominidae. The record is from RNAcentral.
GGAAGGGUGAGGGUGCAGGGCAAGGACAGCAGUAGGAGCUUACUGCAGUGACUGUAUCAUAACUGCUGGUUAUGAGGAUUGGAUUUCUUUUUUGCAGAUGUCACGUGCCGGGGUGAACUGUUAUUAACUAAAAGGAGUCAGGGCUUAGCUGCAAGAAAGGAGGGCCUGGGUGGCUGCAAUGGCAGCAAGAACAGUUGUUCUCCCUGAGCUACUCAGCAAAGACGGUGUCUACUCAGUAUUUUUUAACGUAAUGGUUAUAGGAAUGGUUGAAGAAAAUCAUUACAGAAGCAGGACAAGGGUAAGAUUGUGAGAUGGGAGAGGAUAUCAUUUGGAUGUUUGUCCCCUCCAAAUCUCAUGUUGAAAUUUGAUCUCUAAGGGUGGAGGUGAGGCCUGGUGGGAGGUGUUUAGGUCACCGGGGUGGAUCCCUCAAGAAUGGCUUAGUGGCCUGGACACGGUGGCUCACGCCUGUAAUCCCAGCACUUUGGGAGGCUGAGGUGGGCAGAUCACCUGAGGUCAGCAGUUCAAGACCAGCCUGGCCAACAUGGUGAAACCCCAUCUCUACUAAAAAUACAAAAAAAAAAAAAAAAAAUUAGCUGCGCAUUGUGGUGGGCACCUGUAAUCUCAGCUACUCGGGAGGCCGAGGCAGGAGAAUCGCUUGCACCUGAGGCAGAAGUUGCAGUGAGCCAAGAUCGCACCAUUGCACUCCAGCCUGGGCAACAAGAGUGAAACUCUGUCUCAAAAAAAAAAGAAUGGCUGAGUGCCCUCCUCACAGUCAUGAGUGAGUUCUUGCUGAAUUCGUUUGCACAAGAGCUGGUCAUUGAAAAGAGGCUGGCAUCUCCUCUCUCUCUCUUGUUCCCUCUAUUACCAUGUGAUAUGUCUGUUCCCCCUUCACCUUGCACCAUGGAUAAAAGCUUCCUGAGACCUCACCAGAGCUGAGCAGAUGCUGGGGCCAUGCUUGUACAACCAGCAGAACUGUGAGCCAAAUAAACCUCUCUUCUGUAUAAAUUA